This 72-nucleotide transfer RNA is filed under the name Minisyncoccota bacterium. RNAcentral describes it as "tRNA-Arg". It matches the Rfam family "tRNA". Rfam says of the family: Transfer RNA (tRNA) molecules are approximately 80 nucleotides in length. Their secondary structure includes four short double-helical elements and three loops (D, anti-codon, and T loops). Lineage: Bacteria; Bacillati; Minisyncoccota. The record is from RNAcentral. RNAcentral also lists the same sequence under 1 other name.
GCUCUCAUAGUUCAACGGAUAGAAUACGGCCCUCCGAAGGCCGAGACAGAGGUUCAAUUCCUCUUGAGAGCA